GGGGCAGUAGCUCAGCUGGAUAGAGCAUCGGAUUUCUAAUCCGAGGGUCGGGGGUUCGAGUCCCUCCUGCCCUGCCA
Molecule: transfer RNA, 77 nt
Filed under: Opitutaceae bacterium
Lineage: Bacteria; Pseudomonadati; Verrucomicrobiota; Opitutia; Opitutales; Opitutaceae
Description: tRNA-Arg
Rfam family: tRNA
About the family: Transfer RNA (tRNA) molecules are approximately 80 nucleotides in length. Their secondary structure includes four short double-helical elements and three loops (D, anti-codon, and T loops).
Source: RNAcentral